UAAGCAUAUCAAUAAGCGGGGGAAAAGAAACCAACAGGGAUUGCCCUAGUAACGGCGAGUGAAGCGGCAACAGCUCAAAUUUGAAAUCUGGCUCUCUUUGGGGGUCCGAGUUGUAAUUUGCAGAGGAUGCUUUGGCAUUGGCGGCGGUCUAAGUUCCUUGGAACAGGACAUCACAGAGGGUGAGAAUCCCGUACGUGGUCGCCUGCCCUUGCCGUGUAAAGCUCCUUCGACGAGUCGAGUUGUUUGGGAAUGCAGCUCUAAAUGGGAGGUAAAUUUCUUCUAAAGCUAAAUACUGGCCAGAGACCGAUAGCGCACAAGUAGAGUGAUCGAAAGAUGAAAAGUACUUUGGAAAGAGAGUCAAAAAGCACGUGAAAUUGUUGAAAGGGAAGCGCUUGCAGCCAGACUUGCCCGCAGUUGCUCACCUAGGCUUUCGCCUGGGGCACUCUUCUGCGGGCAGGCCAGCAUCAGUUUGGGCGGUUGGAUAAAGGCCUCUGUCACGUAUCUCCCUUCGGGGUGACCUUAUAGGGGAGGCGCAAUGCAACCAGCCCGGACUGAGGUCCGCGCAUCUGCUAGGAUGCUGGCGUAAUGGCUGUAAGCGGCCCGUCUUGAAACACGGACCAAGGAGUCUAACAUCUAUGCGAGUGUUUGGGUGUCAAGCCCGAGCGCGCAAUGAAAGUGAACGGAGGUGGGAACCCUUUGGGUGCACCAUCGACCGAUCCUGAUGUCUUCGGAUGGAUUUGAGUAAGAGCAUAGCUGUUGGGACCCGAAAGAUGGUGAACUAUGCUUGAAUAGGGUGAAGCCAGAGGAAACUCUGGUGGAGGCUCGCAGCGGUUCUGACGUGCAAAUCGAUCGUCAAAUUUGGGCAUAGGGGCAAAAGACUAAUCGAACCAUCUAGUAGCUGG
Molecule: ribosomal RNA, 902 nt
Filed under: Paraphaeosphaeria sporulosa
Lineage: Eukaryota; Fungi; Ascomycota; Dothideomycetes; Pleosporales; Didymosphaeriaceae
Description: LSU rRNA
Rfam family: Eukaryotic large subunit ribosomal RNA
Source: RNAcentral